RNAcentral lists this ribosomal RNA (492 nucleotides) under uncultured bacterium. Its description in RNAcentral is "partial 16S ribosomal RNA". It matches the Rfam family "Bacterial small subunit ribosomal RNA", at positions 29 to 507 of the family's 1533-position model. The record is from RNAcentral.
AGUGAACGCUGGCGGUAGGCCUAACACAUGCAAGUCGAACGGCAGCACAGUAAGAGCUUGCUCUUACGGGUGGCGAGUGGCGGACGGGUGAGGAAUACAUCGGAAUCUACUUUUUCGUGGGGGAUAACGUAGGGAAACUUACGCUAAUACCGCAUACGACCUACGGGUGAAAGCAGGGGAUCUUCGGACCUUGCGCGAUUGAAUGAGCCGAUGUCGGAUUAGCUAGUUGGCGGGGUAAAGGCCCACCAAGGCGACGAUCCGUAGCUGGUCUGAGAGGAUGAUCAGCCACACUAGAACUGAGACACGGUCCAGACUACUACGGGAGGCAGCAGUGGGGAAUAUUGGACAAUGGGCGCAAGCCUGAUCCAGCCAUACCGCGUGGGUGAAGAAGGCCUUCGGUUUGUAAAGCCCUUUUGUUGGGAAAGAAAAGCAGCAGGUUAAUACCCCGCUGUUCUGACGGUACCCAAAGAAUAAGCACCGGCUAACUUCGUG